GGGCCCGUAGUCUAGCGGUUAUGACGUCGCCCUUACAAGGCGGAGGUCACCAGUUCGAAUCUGGUCGGGCCCA
RNAcentral lists this transfer RNA (73 nucleotides) under Candidatus Thalassarchaeaceae archaeon. RNAcentral describes it as "tRNA-Val". It matches the Rfam family "tRNA". From Rfam's summary of the family: Transfer RNA (tRNA) molecules are approximately 80 nucleotides in length. Their secondary structure includes four short double-helical elements and three loops (D, anti-codon, and T loops). Lineage: Archaea; Methanobacteriati; Thermoplasmatota; Candidatus Poseidoniia; Candidatus Poseidoniales; Candidatus Thalassarchaeaceae. The record is from RNAcentral.